This 507-nucleotide long non-coding RNA is filed under the name Triticum aestivum (bread wheat). RNAcentral describes it as "long non-coding RNA (TAES_LNC000257)". Lineage: Eukaryota; Viridiplantae; Streptophyta; Magnoliopsida; Poales; Poaceae. The record is from RNAcentral.
CGGCUCUCUCCCGGCGGGUUCUCCCUGUUCGACACGUGCUACGACCUGAGCGGGCGCAAGGUGGUGAAGGUGCCGACCGUGUCGAUGCACUUCGCCGGUGGCGCGGAGGCGGCUCUGCCCCCGGAGAACUACCUGAUCCCGGUGGACUCGAAAGGGACGUUCUGCUUCGCGUUCGCGGGCACGGACGGCGGCGUGUCCAUCAUCGGCAACAUACAGCAGCAGGGCUUCCGGGUGGUGUUCGACGGCGACGGCCAGCGCGUCGCCUUCGUGCCCAGGGGCUGUUAAGAUAUGAGGAGUAACGUCGCUUGAUUAGCGGAUAAAAGUACGGCUUUGUCAGUCAUAAUUUAAUCAUGAGGGGUUUAGUUAAGGUGAUGGGUGAGAGCUUUGGAUGCUGUGAAAGCCCUGGCGGUGCGCAGAGUUGUCGGGCAGGGUAAGGUGCGAGGAUAAGGCGGUUUGUUUGUUCAAGGCUGUAAAGGUGUUGGUUAAAAAACAGGCUAUCUCUCCUUU